This 867-nucleotide ribosomal RNA is filed under the name uncultured archaeon. RNAcentral describes it as "bacterial SSU rRNA". It matches the Rfam family "Archaeal small subunit ribosomal RNA", at positions 4 to 870 of the family's 1478-position model. The record is from RNAcentral.
UCGGUUGAUCCUGCCGGAGGUUACUGCUAUCGGUGUUCGCCUAAGCCAUGCGAGUCAUAUGUUUUUCGUGAACAUGGCGUACUGCUCAGUAACACGUGGAUAACCUGCCCUUGGGUCCGGCAUAACCCCGGGAAACUGGGGAUAAUUCCGGAUAACGCACAUAUGCUGGAAUGCUUUUUGCGUAAAAUGGAUUCGUCUGCCCAAGGAUGGGUCUGCGGCCUAUCAGGUAGUAGUGGGUGUAAUGUACCUACUAGCCUACGACGGGUACGGGUUGUGAGAGCAAGAGCCCGGAGAUGGAUUCUGAGACAUGAAUCCAGGCCCUACGGGGCGCAGCAGGCGCGAAAACUUUACAAUGCGGGAAACCGUGAUAAGGGGACACCGAGUGCCAGCAUCAUAUGCUGGCUGUCCGGGUGUGUAAAAUACACCUGUUAGCAAGGGCCGGGCAAGACCGGUGCCAGCCGCCGCGGUAACACCGGCGGCCCGAGUGGUGAUCGUGAUUAUUGGGUCUAAAGGGUCCGUAGCCGGUUUGGUCAGUCCUCCGGGAAAUCUGACAGCUUAACUGUUAGGCUUUCGGAGGAUACUGCCAGACUUGGAACCGGGAGAGGUAAGAGGUACUACAGGGGUAGGAGUGAAAUCUUGUAAUCCCUGUGGGACCACCUGUGGCGAAGGCGUCUUACCAGAACGGGUUCGACGGUGAGGGACGAAAGCUGGGGGCACGAACCGGAUUAGAUACCCGGGUAGUCCCAGCCGUAAACGAUGCUCGCUAGGUGUCAGGCAUGGCGCGACCGUGUCUGGUGCCGCAGGGAAGCCGUGAAGCGAGCCACCUGGGAAGUACGGCCGCAAGGCUGAAACUUAAAGGAAUUGGCG